GUCGUUUCUAGUUGGGUGUACUUCUUUUCCUGCUGUAUCAGCCCUAAGAAGCUUUUUAAAUUCAUCAGCUUUAAGGUUAAUCGGUCAAAGAAACUAAUCGAAAUAAUUCCAGAAGUAACGUACCACCUGCACCUACUUAUCCGCUGAAUCCAGUACCUAGUUAAUAUCCUUUACAAUAGUCACAGUAGGUACGCGUUAUUAAACUGAAAGUAGCAUAAUCAAUUCUUUCAAUAAGUUCCUUUAUCUUUUUCAAUGUUCAAUACUUUGUUUUUUUCAAUUUCGGCGGGAACAAUUAAACCUUAAAUCAAUAGAUGGCGUAACAAAUACAGAGGUCACUAAUAACGUGUAGAGUACAUCAAAUUUUGCUUUGUGUUAAGGCCUAUAGCCAUAGUCGCUUUUGGCAAAGUGACUCGUUUUUGUUGAGAGCAUUGUAGCCCCUGAGCUUUUUGUGAUUGUUUUUUUUUUCGAGGAAAAAUACUAAUUAAUAAGAAGAGAAAAUGGAUAGGCAGACUAACCAAGAUUUAUUAAAUAAUAAUUACGUGGGACAAUUUCAAGGAUGUGAUUUAACGCGAGCCCUCUCACCCAACUGCGUUUUACUCCCGCCUAAUUUCCUCUCCUAUAAUCAAUUUAUGCCUGAUACCGAGAUUUUCAUAAAUCAGCCAUUUGGACAAUACUGUGCCAGUCUCUUUAAUAACAACGGAGGGUAGUGACGGCGAAGAGAUGAGCACGGCCGAUUUGGAAGGUCUUCCUGAAGCCGUUACUGGCGCUACGGGCCCAUUAACAAUUAGGAUGGUGAUGCAGGGAAAGGAGGUCGGCAGUAUUAUCGGCAAGAAAGGCGAUAACGUUAAGAAGUACAGGGAAGAGAGUGGUGCCAAAAUCAACAUAUCAGACGCCUCCUGCCCAGAACGGAUCGUUACAGUUAGCGGCUCUUCUGAAGGGAUUUACAAGGCUUUUACGAUGAUCUGCAAGAAGUUCGAAGAGGAUAUCAACGCCCAGCACGGUCAAAGCGCUUUACCUAAACCUCCCGUAACGAUAAGGCUAGUUGUCCCAGCUAGCCAAUGCGGCUCCUUAAUUGGAAAAGCUGGAGCCAAGAUUAAAGAAAUUCGUGACGCUACCGGUGCUUCUAUACAAGUCGCUAGCGAAAUGCUACCAAAUUCAACGGAGAGGGCCGUUACGAUUUCCGGUUCUGCUGAUCAGAUUACGCAAUGCAUCUUUCAUAUCUGCGCUGUUAUGCUAGAGUCCCCUCCCAAGGGCGCCACAAUACCUUACCGACCUAAACCUAUUCUGCCUCCUGGCUUAAUGGCGGUCGCCGCCGGAGGAGCACCCGCCGCCUCUUUUCUACCCGCUCCUUCUCCGACAGUCUUCUUCCCUCCAUCGCCGGACGCCGCCCACCUGCACAAACUGGCCCUACAACCGCAGACGAUGCUGCCACCUGGCGCCUUUCCGUUUAUUGGUCAAAGCCUCCUACCAGGGGCAGCCACUUCCACAACCGGUUUACCCACCGGGAGUGUCUCGUUAAGACCAAACGCACCUAUUCAGAAUGGAGCUGCUCAAACUCAUGAAAUGACUAUACCUAACGAUCUGAUUGGCUGUAUAAUAGGAAGAGGUGGUGCCAAGAUAAACGAAAUACGACAAUUGUCAGGCGCUCAAAUUAAAAUAGCGAACGCCGACGAAAGUUUAGGAGAUAGAAAAGUGACGAUUACGGGUACACCUGAUACCGUACAGGCCGCUCAGUAUUUGAUAAAUGCCAGCGUCGAGCUUCACGCCGUCGCUCAAGGCAUUCAACAUCAAAUUUCAACAAGUUUUCCUACUCCUACUGAAGCCGUUUCCUCAGCCAACGAUGCUAUUACAACGACCAGUAAUUCACAGGCCUUUACCGGUCUACCGGUAAUAAGUCCUCAGCAAUUUAUGGCCUCUGCUGGAUUGAGGCUACCCGUUAUCGGUUUACCGGUUUCGGCUACGCCAUUUGACCCUUCUUCAGCUGCUAAACUGACUGGUAAAGUAAAGCCUACUGUUGCAGCAGCCUCGAAGUUUACACCUUAUUAG
Molecule: unclassified non-coding RNA, 2046 nt
Filed under: Dimorphilus gyrociliatus
Lineage: Eukaryota; Metazoa; Annelida; Polychaeta; Dinophilidae
Description: dgyrCDS13927
Source: RNAcentral